Molecule: ribosomal RNA, 412 nt
Filed under: Bacillus velezensis
Lineage: Bacteria; Bacillati; Bacillota; Bacilli; Caryophanales; Bacillaceae
Description: bacterial SSU rRNA
Rfam family: Bacterial small subunit ribosomal RNA
Source: RNAcentral
UUUAUCGGAGAGUUUGAUCCUGGCUCAGGACGAACGCUGGCGGCGUGCCUAAUACAUGCAAGUCGAGCGGACAGAUGGGAGCUUGCUCCCUGAUGUUAGCGGCGGACGGGUGAGUAACACGUGGGUAACCUGCCUGUAAGACUGGGAUAACUCCGGGAAACCGGGGCUAAUACCGGAUGGUUGUCUGAACCGCAUGGUUCAGACAUAAAAGGUGGCUUCGGCUACCACUUACAGAUGGACCCGCGGCGCAUUAGCUAGUUGGUGAGGUAACGGCUCACCAAGGCGACGAUGCGUAGCCGACCUGAGAGGGUGAUCGGCCACACUGGGACUGAGACACGGCCCAGACUCCUACGGGAGGCAGCAGUAGGGAAUCUUCCGCAAUGGACGAAAGUCUGACGGAGCAACGCCGCGU